RNAcentral lists this ribosomal RNA (279 nucleotides) under uncultured bacterium. RNAcentral describes it as "partial 16S ribosomal RNA". It matches the Rfam family "Bacterial small subunit ribosomal RNA", at positions 506 to 784 of the family's 1533-position model. The record is from RNAcentral.
UGCCAGCAGCCGCGGUAAGACGGAGGGGGCUAGUGUUAUUCGGAAUGACUGGGCGUAAAGGGCACGUAGGCGGUGAACUAAGUUGAAAGUGAAAUCCCAAAGCUUAACUUUGGAACUAUUUUCAAAACUGGUUCACUGGAGUUCGAUAGGGGAUAGAGGAAUUUCUAGUGUAGAAAUAGAAUUCAUAAAUAUUAGAAGGAACACCAGUGGCGAAGGCGGCUUUCUGGACCGAUACUGACGCUGAGACGCGAAAGCGUGGGGAGCAAACAGGAUUAGAUA